GCGCCGCCACUCGGUGGUGCGGCCGGAAGUGGGGGGGGAGGGGGGCAGGGAGGCGGCGGUGCCACCAUGAAACGGGACGUGCGGAUCCUCCUGCUCGGGGAGGCCCAGGUGGGGAAGACGUCCCUGAUCAUGGCCCUGGUGGGCGAGGAGUUUCCUGAAGAGGUGCCCCCCCGGGCGGAGGAGAUCACGAUCCCGGCAGAUGUCACCCCUGAGAAGGUCCCCACACACAUAGUGGACUACUCAGAGUCAGAGCAGACAGAGGAGGAGCUGCAGGAGGAGAUCUCCAAGG
Long non-coding RNA from Empidonax traillii (willow flycatcher), 289 nucleotides. RefSeq lists it as uncharacterized. The transcript is spliced from 4 exons. Lineage: Eukaryota; Metazoa; Chordata; Aves; Passeriformes; Tyrannidae. The record is from RefSeq and is a predicted model, not a curated record.